This 116-nucleotide ribosomal RNA is filed under the name uncultured Arcobacter sp. Its description in RNAcentral is "partial 16S ribosomal RNA". It matches the Rfam family "Bacterial small subunit ribosomal RNA", at positions 393 to 526 of the family's 1533-position model. The record is from RNAcentral. Lineage: Bacteria; Pseudomonadati; Campylobacterota; Epsilonproteobacteria; Campylobacterales; Arcobacteraceae.
AACGCCGCGUGGAGGAAGACACAUUUCGGUGCGUAAACUCCUUUUAUAUAGGAAGAUAAUGACGGUACUAUAUGAAUAAGCACCGGCUAACUCCGUGCCAGCAGCCGCGGUAAUAC